GAGUUUGAUUCUGGCUCAGGAUGAACGCUGGCGGCGUGCCUAACACAUGCAAGUCGAACGGAGAACUUAAGUGGAAGUUUUCGGAUGGAAACUUUUGUUCUUAGUGGCGGACGGGUGAGUAACGCGUGGGCAACCUGCCUCAUACAGGGGGACAACAGACGGAAACGUCUGCUAAGACCGCAUACGUCUUUUUGGUCGCAUGACUGAGAAGGGAAAAGAGUAAUCUGGUAUGAGAUGGACCCGCGUCUGAUUAGCUAGUUGGUAAGGUAACGGCUUACCAAGGCAACGAUCAGUAGCCGGACUGAGAGGUCGGACGGCCACAUUGGGACUGAGACACGGCCCAAACUCCUACGGGAGGCAGCAGUGGGGGAUAUUGCACAAUGGAGGAAACUCUGAUGCAGCGACGCCGCGUGAGUGAAGAAGUAUUUCGGUAUGUAAAGCUCUAUCAGCAGGGAAGAUGAUGA
Molecule: ribosomal RNA, 464 nt
Filed under: Catonella sp. canine oral taxon 158
Lineage: Bacteria; Bacillati; Bacillota; Clostridia; Lachnospirales; Lachnospiraceae
Description: bacterial SSU rRNA
Rfam family: Bacterial small subunit ribosomal RNA
Source: RNAcentral